AUCUUUCCAAGUUUCAUGCAAAUGAUGAAAGGUUUGUUCACGGCUUUCCGUGAAAGGCGCAGCCAACUUGUUACGACUGGUGCCUCAGACUUUCUGAUC
Small nucleolar RNA from Gadus morhua (Atlantic cod), 99 nucleotides. Ensembl annotates it as small nucleolar RNA U13. Lineage: Eukaryota; Metazoa; Chordata; Actinopteri; Gadiformes; Gadidae. The record is from Ensembl.